RNA transcript from Spinacia oleracea (spinach), 5071 nucleotides. RefSeq lists it as uncharacterized. NCBI's taxonomy places the organism in Eukaryota, Viridiplantae, Streptophyta, Magnoliopsida, Caryophyllales, Amaranthaceae. The transcript has 6 exons. The record is from RefSeq and is a predicted model, not a curated record.
CAAUUUUCUCAUACAUCCUUCCUUCUGGUAACUAACACCUCUUCACGCAACCACCGUAACAACUACUCCUCCCACCAUCUGACCCUUCCCUCCACCGCCGGUCCACCGCAGCACCCACCUUUCUGGCAGCGGAGAUAUCCAGGGAGGGCGGAAGUGACGGAGAUGUCGUUGAGUGAUGACAUCGCUGGGCAAAGGCGGCGGCACUAGUUAGCGAGGAGUUUCGGAUAAUGAUCAGUUCAAAAUCUAUCCAUUUGUUUACUUAAUCAGUUCUAAUUAAUACCCAAUUUUAGAGAGAAAUUGAAAAAAUGGGUGUUAAAUUCGGAAAAUCUCCAGUCCAUAUUCUAAUUGCGACGAUUGUUCUUCAUUUCACCAUUCGUAUUACCUCUUCAACUUCAAAUCAGGAAAGUCUUAAUAACUAUAAUGGUGACUACAUGAAGCACAGCACCAGUUCCUCUCCUUGUUUUGCAAGAUAUGCUCUGGAGUCGUUUUCCAGGGAAUAUGAUAGCUUCACCGAUUCAAAUUUUUUAGAGUAUAUGAAACAUAAGAUUCUAGUUGGCUCUGAGCCAACAUUUUCUAAACUUUUACAAUUAGAGCGCCGUUUGAUUGGAGAGGGUUCUCAUCGCCGUCUAUCUUCAUCUGUCAGAUUAAGCAUUCAGCCAAAUCUGAUUGCUGACUUUUCCUCACAAAUGUGUGAGAUCAUAAUCAUUGAAAGACUACCAUCUGGGGUUUUUGCUGAUCCUUUUGAGCUUCAACAUCUAAUUUACCGUGGAGCAUUCAAGGAUGCUUAUGUUUUCGGAGAUGCUAAUUUGGAGUUGCCAUCCUUUCUUUCCAAUCAGUCAAUUGUUGAAGUUCACUUAGAUACAGCCUUGAAUAAUUCAGCAGGUCAGGAGACUGUGCUAGAGUUCAAGAUAGAGAUACCAUUGCAUGCUCGAUAUCCUCCUCUGGAAGAAAGUGGAUAUUCAAAAGUCAGGUUUGGUGCUCCUGACUUGUAUAUGUACUGCAAAAUGCAUGGAACGUCACCUGCUCAAAGCUGUUCUUUGUCACCCAUUACUAGCAACGGUUCUCUGGAACUUGAUGAUAUUGUGUGGAGCAUUCCAGCGGGGAUCAAGUCUCACUCAAGAACAGUGUCUGUUGUUACUUACGCGUCAGCACUACUGUCAGCAACUUUAAUCAUCUUUUUUUCCUUGCGAUCUUCACGCAUAGAAUGUGAUGGAAAAUCGAAACAAACUUGAUAACCAAUAACAGUCAGACUGUCCUAUGCCUAAUCCAGUGGGGGACAACCAGAUCUAUGAGGGUUUUCACCUGGAGCCCGUCUGCAUGAGUCCAUGACAAUAUCUGUCAUUGAAUUUCUACCAACAGUCCUGCGAGGAGCUCAGGAAUUGGAAAAGGUGUUGCCUGCUUCCAUUUGCCAAGAACAAUAAAAUUACACAAAUUAGAAGGUACACUCGGUUACAUGUAUUGUUUUGUAUUUUACAAUUUCAAAGCACAUAUUUUUGUUUAUUUUUUCAAAUUCUAUAAUUGAAGUACUUUUUUCCAAUUAAGAAAAAAAACCUAAACCUAAGAGGUGAGCAACCAACAACAAUUUACAUAUUCUCUCAAAUCAUUUGCGCUCAAGUUUGAAAACCCCAACUAGUUAGUGGCCCGGGGCCCGGGCGAUGUCCCAGAGUGUUUGAUAUUGUUUGAGUUUCUUUUUAAUCUUUGAGUAAUUUACAUUGUUUGUGUAAAACUUUAGUUUAUGUACUUUUUUACUUGUAAUUUAUCCUCCGUACAAAAUUUAAGUUACAACUGUAAAAUGAGUUAUAAAGUCGAAAUACUUUUGUAGGAAAAAAACACAAUUUGAUUAGCUAAAAUAAAUAACAUUAUUUUUUCUAUUAAUUUAAUUGUUUUAUGUUUGAUUUAAUGAAUAAAUAUGAAGAGAAAAAAAUUGUUAUCUUAAAUUUGGCCAUUAAAUUUUACACAUAGGUAAGAAUGAAUUUUACUUUUGUUUAAUUGUUUUAAAGUUAUAACGUAUGUUGUUGGAAAGAUGGAUAAAACUUUGUAUUAACAUAUGAGAGGUCAUGAGUUUGAUGAUACAUACCAACAUUUUUUUGUGAAGACACAAUUAACAAAAGUGUGUGCAUUUGAUGUGGCGUGAUGACGCCAUGUCACUUGCCAAAUCAUCGCGACACAUGGCGAGAUGACAUGGAUUGCCUUGGAGUUUUAAUAAUAUAUAUAUAUAUAUAGAUUUGUUCAAGUGUUAGAUUUCAAUUCCUUUAAUGGUUAAUUGCAUACCUUUGGAUAAUAUGUUCAUUUUAUGUACAAUAUGUUCUUUUGAAAUGUAUGUGCUUUUAAGCUAUAAAAAUGUAUUUUUGAGAGGUUUAAAAUACGAUUCAGUUGCAUGUAGAUCUAAGCUAUAGUGGUGUCAAUAAUACCUUUAUACUUCAUAUAAAUUUAAUUAAACAUACCCUUAUUAGUAGAUGUGAUGAUGAGAUAAGACCAUCAAUUGUCACAUUUUGAUUAGUUGGACCAAACUGGUCUUAGGAAAAGACCUAACCUAUAGUAUGUCCUAUGUGUAGGCAUCUAGAUUUCUCAACAUAUACUAAAUUAUUAAAGGACCUUCUUUUAUGCUAGGUCCUCUUUAAAUCAAACUUUUCUUUCUUUGGUUAAAACUCUUUAUAACAAACUUGAUCCCACUGUGAUAACAUUGUAAAUUCAUUUCUAUCUAAUAAUAUACUCUAUACCAUUUCACCAUAUUUAAUGAUAUCAUAGAAAACGAUAAGCCCUUUUUACUUAAUUUAGUGUGAAUAAAGCAAAAUUGUCCCCAAUGUUUGGUGUCUUUUUUCAGUCCAAGAUUUGCAAAUCACCACUAUGGGAUAGUUUGCUCAAAAGUACUAGUCAAUUACAUUUGGGAAAAGAUUAUUUAUAAACAUUAGAACUUAUGGUUCUAUUUCCGUCUCAUUUCACUUGUUCCAUUUCUUUUAGUGAUGUCCCGUGCCUCGUUUCUUCUAUAUUUUUUUAUUAGUUGAGUCCUAUUAUUUAUCAACUCACUUUCUUCUCUAUACGUUUUCAUUUUCGCAAAAUUCUAUGCAAAAAAGCUUCAGAAUAAAUAAAAAGAGACGGAGAGAGUAAUAAAUUAAUUUUUAUUGCUUUUGGUGGAGAUUAGGUCCCUUUACUUCAAAAAGGAAAAUAUCCCAUGCACUCAAAGUACACAAAAUUGACUCAUCUUUAAAUUAAUUGGUGCUUACUUCACUAGAUAAGCAAAUCAAAAAGUUCGAUAAUGUGAGUGAUGUCCCAAUUUGAGUAGGGUCCCUAGAUACUCUAAUGUAACUCUCAAAACAAUUAGGAAUUAUAUAUAUUGGUCUGGUAUGGAAUGGGAACGAUUAAAGAAGCAUGCUUAGUGUCUUGGGAUUCUUUGUGCUGGUAAGAGUGUGCACAGGUAGGAACGUUAGCUAGUCUUGGGUGUGAUUUGAGAAUCCCCUCCGAUGCUCAAAUCAUAUAGCAUACCUUUCGCAAUAAAUGAAGCCCAUUUAUAUUGGUGGAUCGGAUACAUGGAGGGUACGAGCCAUUCCACAUGACCUUUUGACCUUUAUAACCAUCACAUCGCAUCAUUGACGUCUACCGAUAGGAAGGGAUCCUGACUAGAGCUUACUUCACCGGCUAACAGGGCAUUUGCUAGGUGAUGCCUUCCUGUCAUAUUUUUGUAAGGGUUACUAUCGGCAGGUUUAUACGUAUCCCGUAUAACUAGCCCCCUCGGAGUAAUUUCCAACGGCUAUACAUAAUUCUAAGCCUCUUUCUCAAGCAAGCCAAAAAAAAAACCAUUAGUAUAAAUUUCAUCUUAAAUUAGUGAAUAUUGCCCCUUUUUUGUAUUAGUAGUUUUCAUGAUUCUUCUUUCCAUUAUUAAUAAAGAUUAAUGCUCAACUAACUAGAUUUUUUGGUUUCAAAAAGGUUUUGGUUUUCCAGGUAUAAAGGAAAAUUCUUUAACGUUUAAUGGGUGGUCUUGUCAUAAGUUUGUGUUUGUGCUUAAAUAAAGCUCUUUUUUUAUGAAACAAGCUUGUGCCGAGGUCACAAAGGGAGAUAAUGACCCACUAUAAUUUAAAUUAAGGAUUUUUUGCCAAAAAGGACCUUUUAUAAGCAUAUUUUUGCGAGAAAGGACCUUUUAUGUCAAAAUUGGUGAAAUGGGACCUAAAAUACAACAUUUUUUGUUAAGUGGGACCUUUGCCCGGAUUCUUGGAGUCAACCCAAGUUUCUGGCGUUGACUUCGACACGUGGCAGCCGGAAACUGCCACGUGUCAAUAUCCUUAUUUAAAAAAUAAAAAAUAAAAAAAAAAUUUAUUUUUUUUCCCAAAAAUCAUCGUUUUACUGAAACAGUUUUACCCAAAAAAAAAAUCGAUUCUCGAUUCUCGAUUCUCUUCUCUCUCCUCUGCUCCUUCAACUCGACGCCAUUGUUGAAGAUUCAAGGUUGAAGGAAAGUGCUUCUUCACUCAAAUUGCUUGCCAAGAAUUGUUACUCAGGCCUCCACGAAUCAGAUUGACAAUGUCCCAUCAAAAAGCGAAAAUUUGGGGACUAAUUCAGUUUUACUUAGUGGUUGGUGUAGAAUGAAGAAUCUAAUGGAAGCUGGUGAAAUCUGGAACGAGAUGAUUGAUCAAGGUUUGAACCCAGAUGUUGUUACUCAUAACAUAAUGUUAGAUGGGUUGUUGAAGGUUAAUAAGAAAUCUGAUGCAAUCAAGCUUUUCGAGGUGAUGAAAGUUAAGGGUCCACCCCCAAAUGUUCGGACCUAUACUAUAUUGAUUAGGGAUUUGUGCAAGCAUUCAAAGUUGAAUGAAGCUGUUGCUUACUUUGAUGGGAUGACUUCUUCAGGUUGUAACCCAGAUGCUGUUGUAUAUACUUGUUUGAUUACUAGAUUUAGGAACCUUAAAAAGAUGGAUAUGGUGUUUGGUUUGUUAAAAGAGCUGAAGGAAAAGGGUUACCCACCUGAUGGGCAACUGUAUAAUGCUUUGAUUAAGUUGAUGAUGAAUAGAAGAAUGCCGGAUGAUGCAGUUCGUGUUUACAAGAAGAUGAUUCAGAGUGGAAUUGAGCCAACAAUUCAUACUUA